Cyprinus carpio (common carp) is the source of this 561-nucleotide long non-coding RNA. The record is from Ensembl. NCBI's taxonomy places the organism in Eukaryota, Metazoa, Chordata, Actinopteri, Cypriniformes, Cyprinidae.
AUGUACAAUCAAGGACCAACAGUCGGAAGAAUAAACCCUGCAUUCACUGACCCUCAGGAUGAACAGGAUCAUCUGGAGAAGUCAAGGAUGGAUCAGUCUGUGCAACCACCAUACUAUCCCAGCGCAGGAUACCAGAUCCCAAGAGUCAAUCCCAUCUCUUCUGGAUAUCCAAACCAACCGUACGGAGCUCCAGUAGGCCCUCAGGGCCCGUAUGUCCAGCAGUCAUAUCCAGGAAGGGCUGUGUAUCCCCAAGCAGCGUAUGAUGGUCAAACUGGUGUCACAGUUCAGCCGGCUGUGUUCAUGGCUCCAGUGCUAAUGGCUGCUCCGGAUUACUUGGGCUACUCCAUCUUUACCAUGCUGUGCUGCUGUUUACCUCUGGGCAUUGCUGCUAUUGUCUACUCGUGCUAUACUCGAGAUGCUAACUUGUCUGGACAGCGAGAGUUAGCGAUGAGCAGCUCCAGAGCGGCGUUGAUCCUGAACAAUGUGGCUUUCUGUCUCGGCAUUCUAAUCAUCACUGCAGUCACUAUUGUAAUACUUUAUGUGAACGAAGUAUUUGAUUGA